GCAAUACAUGAAACAAACUCAUCUUAGGAUCUAGCUUCCGAAAAGACAGGAUAAUACAAUCCAAAGAAAAUAUGGUGGAAAUUCUAUUGCAAAUGUAUGUACAGGUAAACGAUAAAACAAGAAAUCUCUUACAAAUACACAUUGGUCAGCAAUCUUCCGGUAGCUGCUAUCUUCAUCCAUCAGCAUGCACAAAAGGAAGUCCUCGAAAAUCUCUAAUCAAUGUACAUUUCCUUCAUUAUUCACAAGCAUAUUGUAGGUGGUAUUCUCUCUGAAGGAAACAGUUGCUACGGAUGGACUGAUGGUCAUCAACCAACUCAAUUUGUGGGUUCAAGCUUGAAGCGGAGAUUCUGGAUCAGAACCGGAAAUAGAAGAGAAUGACACAGUAUCUUCCUUAGCCAUAGACACAAAGUUGAGAGGGCCGGUAGAGAGCCUUGUCAUUUCCUUGAAAUAACCAUUGUGCCGCACAGAGUUGGAACGGGGUGUUAAGAGCUCUGGAGUUGCACAAGACAUUGAGCUCCUACGUGGCGAGGGUGUAACAGAUCCAUGUCCAUUGGCAUUAUAACCAUUUCCCUUCCUAAAGCUGCUGCUUCUUCU
This 594-nucleotide unclassified non-coding RNA is filed under the name Hevea brasiliensis (rubber tree). Lineage: Eukaryota; Viridiplantae; Streptophyta; Magnoliopsida; Malpighiales; Euphorbiaceae. The record is from RNAcentral.